RNAcentral lists this ribosomal RNA (805 nucleotides) under uncultured archaeon. RNAcentral describes it as "bacterial SSU rRNA". It matches the Rfam family "Archaeal small subunit ribosomal RNA", at positions 508 to 1312 of the family's 1478-position model. The record is from RNAcentral.
GUCUAAAGGGUCCGUAGCCGGUUUAAUCAGUCUUCUGGGAAAUCUAAUCGCUUAACUAUUAGGCUUCCAGGGGAUACUGUUAGACUUGGGACCGGGAGAGGUAAGAGGUACUGCAGGGGUAGGAGUGAAAUCUUGUAAUCCCUGUGAGACCACCAGUGGCGAAGGCGUCUUACCAGAACGGGUCCGACGGUGAGGGACGAAAGCUGGGGGCACGAACCGGAUUAGAUACCCGGGUAGUCCCAGCUGUAAACGAUGCUCGUUAGGUGUCAGGAACGGUGCGACUGUUUCUGGUGCCGAAGGGAAGCCGUGAAACGAGCCACCUGGGAAGUACGGCCGCAAGGCUGAAACUUAAAGGAAUUGGCGGGGGAGCACUACAACGGGUGGAGCCUGCGGUUUAAUUGGACUCAACGCCGGAAAACUCACCGGGGGCGACAGCAAUAUGUAGGUCAGGUUAAAGGUCUUACCUGAAUCGCUGAGAGGAGGUGCAUGGCCGUCGUCAGUUCGUACUGUGAAGCAUCCUGUUAAGUCAGGCAACGAGCAAGACCCGUGCCCACUGUUACCAGCAUAUCCUUUAUGGAUGAUGGGGACUCUGUGGGGACCGCUGCUGCUAAAGCAGAGGAAGGUGCGGGCUACGGUAGGUCAGUAUGCCCCGAAUCUCCCGGGCUACACGCGGGCUACAAUGGUUGGGACAAUGGGUAUCUACUCCGAAAGGAGUUGGCAAUCUCUUAAACCCAAUCGUAGUUCGAAUUGAGGGCUGUACUCGCCCUCAUGAAGCUGGAAUCCGUAGUAAUCGCGUUUCAACAUA